AGAGUUUGAUCCUGGCUCAGAAUCAACGCUGGCGGCGUGCCUAACACAUGCAAGUCGAACGCGAAAGUGGAGCAAUCCAUGAGUAGAGUGGCAAACGGGUGAGUAACACGUGGGUGACCUGCCUUCGAGCGGGGGAUAACGUCCCGAAAGGGACGCUAAUACCGCAUGACAUCCUGUCUUUUAACAGAUGGAGAUCAAAGCCGGGGAUCGCAAGACCUGGCACUCGAAGAGGGGCCCGCGCCUGAUUAGCUAGUUGGUGAGGUAAUGGCUCACCAAGGCGACGAUCAGUAUCUGGCCUGAGAGGGCGGACGGACACACUGGGACUGAGACACGGCCCAGACUCCUACGGGAGGCAGCAGUGGGGAAUUGUUCGCAAUGGGCGCAAGCCUGACGACGCAACGCCGCGUGGAGGAUGAAGAUCUUCGGGUCGUAAACUCCUUUCGAUCGAGAUGAAUGGCCUCCGGGUGAACAACCCGGAGGAAUGACAGUACCGAGAGAAGAAGCCCCGGCUAACUCCGUGCCAGCAGCCGCGGUA
RNAcentral lists this ribosomal RNA (535 nucleotides) under uncultured Acidobacteriota bacterium. Its description in RNAcentral is "bacterial SSU rRNA". It matches the Rfam family "Bacterial small subunit ribosomal RNA", at positions 8 to 522 of the family's 1533-position model. Lineage: Bacteria; Pseudomonadati; Acidobacteriota. The record is from RNAcentral.